GAUGAACGCUAGCGGCAGGCUUAAUACAUGCAAGUCGAGGGGUAGUUUAGAUUCGUCUGAAUUAGACCGGCGCACGGGUGAGUAACACGUACGCAACCUACCCUGUACUGAGGCAUAGCCCCGGGAAACUGGGAUUAAUUCCUCAUAGUCCUUUAGAAUGGCAUCAUUCUUUAGGUAAAGCUCAGGCGGUACAGGAUGGGCGUGCGUCUGAUUAGGUAGUUGGUAUGGGUAACGGCCUACCAAGCCUGCGAUCAGUAGCUGGCGUGAGAGCGCGACCAGCCACACUGGAACUGAGACACGGUCCAGACUCCUACGGGAGGCAGCAGUAGGGAAUAUUGGGCGAAUGGGCGCAAGCCUGACCCAGCCAUGCCGCGUGAAGGAUUAAGG
This 387-nucleotide ribosomal RNA is filed under the name uncultured bacterium. RNAcentral's name for it is "bacterial SSU rRNA". It matches the Rfam family "Bacterial small subunit ribosomal RNA", at positions 28 to 414 of the family's 1533-position model. The record is from RNAcentral.